RNAcentral lists this ribosomal RNA (253 nucleotides) under uncultured bacterium. RNAcentral's name for it is "partial 16S ribosomal RNA". It matches the Rfam family "Bacterial small subunit ribosomal RNA", at positions 524 to 776 of the family's 1533-position model. The record is from RNAcentral.
UACGUAGGGGGCAAGCGUUGUCCGGAUUUUUUGGGCGUAAAGAGCGUGUAGGCGGCUAGGUAGGUCCGUUGUGAAAACUCGAGGCUCAACCUCGAGACGUCGAUGGAAACCAUCUAGCUAGAGUCCGGAAGAGGAGAGUGGAAUUCCUGGUGUAGCGGUGAAAUGCGCAGAUAUCAGGAAGAACACCCGUGGCGAAGGCGGCUCUCUGGUACGUGACUGACGCUGAGACGCGAAAGCGUGGGGAGCGAACAGG